GCGGGUCUGGGCACGCGCCGGGCGGGCUUCCGCUGGGUCCCGGGGCGUGACAGAUUAAUUUGGUAUCAGAGCCUAGGGUUGAGUCUUAGGGGACCUAGUAAACCUUAGGCCAGUUGGACUAUAGGAAAUAGGCUCGUGAGAGACGAGGUCUAUUCGAUUUGUAAGCGAAAGUAUCUAGAUUGGGUAUCUUGAAUAACUCUAGAAAGUGGAGUUAAAUUGAAGUGUAUAACUCCUAACUUCGCGGAGGGUUACGU
RNAcentral lists this long non-coding RNA (254 nucleotides) under Ananas comosus (pineapple). Its description in RNAcentral is "long non-coding RNA (ACOM_LNC021231)". The record is from RNAcentral. Lineage: Eukaryota; Viridiplantae; Streptophyta; Magnoliopsida; Poales; Bromeliaceae.